CAGUCGCCACGGGAAUACGUAGGUGGCGAGCGUUGUCCGGAAUUAUUGGGCGUAAAGGGAGCGCAGGCGGGCGAGUAAGUCUUUCUUAAAAGUGCGGGGCUCAACCCCGUGAGGGGAGAGAAACUACUCAUCUUGAGUGCAGGAGAGGAAAGCGGAAUUCCUAGUGUAGCGGUGAAAUGCGUAGAUAUUGGGAGGAACACCAGUGGCGAAGGCGGCUUUCUGGACUGUAACUGACGCUGAGGCUCGAAAGCCAGGGGAGCGAACGGGAUUAGAUACCCCGGUAGUCACUGUCUCUUAUACA
Molecule: ribosomal RNA, 301 nt
Filed under: uncultured bacterium
Lineage: Bacteria
Description: partial 16S ribosomal RNA
Rfam family: Bacterial small subunit ribosomal RNA
Source: RNAcentral